Molecule: long non-coding RNA, 9142 nt
Filed under: Eucalyptus grandis
Lineage: Eukaryota; Viridiplantae; Streptophyta; Magnoliopsida; Myrtales; Myrtaceae
Description: long non-coding RNA (EGRA_LNC006705)
Source: RNAcentral
AGGGUGACGCCACAACAUCGCAAGCACCAGGUUGUACACAUUAGGAAUCGGUCUAUAGAUGUCCUUGAAGUACAUGUUCAGCAAGUCCUGUUCAGCAAAUGGAGUGGGAGGUGUGAUCUUGAGGGUUUCGAGCAAAUCAUGGUAAGUGUCAAGGUUCGGCUCGUACACGAACAUGCCAGCGUUGAAGUAGAGAGGCGGCUUUAGGCCGACAUGGUCGGGCCAUUGGACCUUGUCGGGGCACUGCUGGCAGUACCCAAUUUCGUACUGAGGGGUGUGACUCCAUGUCUUCUCGCAAAAGCAAUCCAUGACGGCGUAGAAGAAGCCGUUCUGGAGGUCGAAGAGGUGGUCAAUGUUGUCGAAGACUUGGAUGUCCCCAUCCAAGUAGAUCAUCUUGCUGUACUCCACAAACUGCAAUUCAAGAAGCCAGGUCAAUAACUCAAUAUAACCAGGUUGAUAGCACUUCUCAAUCCUAACUGUCUAAGAAGCAGACAAAACUUAAGAUACUAAGAAAUAUUUCAAAACUAAGCAUACCUGCCAAAUUCUGAGUUUGGAGUAGUUGAUCACAUAAUGAGCCAUGGCGAAUUGGGUCUGGUUCUCCGGUGGAUACACGGGCUUAAUCUCCCUCACGAUGCAGCCCUGGUCCACCAAGAUCUUCCGAUGAUCUGCUGGCACGUCCAGCAAGACCGCCACCACGAGUGGGUACUUGCUCUUCGCCUUCCUCAGUCCCUUGGCCAGCCCGACCACACCCUUAAUGUAAUCGCCAUUUCCGGCCAAAAAUGUCACGUAGGCACAGGUGGGUUGAUUCUCAGGCUGCGGCUUCACAACGCCAUUAGUGGCGGCAUCGGCAGCGGCCAUGAUGGGAGCCAUUUCUAUGGUGAGGAAAGGUUUGAGGUUUCAGUGAGUGGGAAUGCAGAAUGUUUGGCGGGUUUGAGAAGGGAUUUGCCAAUUGCUUGGCUGAGUUUGAGUUGAUGGAUUGGGCAAGAGGAGGGUGCAGGGUUUAUAUAUAGAUGGAGAAUUAAUUUUUUUUUUAAUAAGGAGACGAAAUUCAUGGAGAUAAUGCGGUGAUUUAUUUCCUAAAUUCCUAUGAUCGGGACAGGGGAUGGAAACUGCUUGAAUCUUGACAGUUUCAUACCGACAGACCAAAGAUCUUGUCUCCAAUGGGGGCGGAGCUAGGCCAUUUCUCCUGAAACGACGACGUCGUUUUGGAGCUCCACCGUUGGAUCGAAGUCCGCGUGGGUCAGUGGGAGUCGAUCGGACGGUCGGUAGUCAAGAUCUGGAGUUGGUGGACGGUGCUAGAAUAUGCGAAAGAGAGAGAUACCUCAUUUCUUUUUUUUUUUAGUCAAAAGAGAUACCUCAUGUUAGAAAUACCUGGAAAGUCAGUCUUUUCGUGGAUUUACUAAUAUAACCCUAGUGGCCGACUACGAAAUUACAAGACGGCCUUAGGGUAUUCGUGUAAUUUGAGGAAUAUCGGGAGGGCGAUCAUGUAACUAGAUAUUGUGGUGGGGGCGGUUUUCGAGGAUAAUGUUAUGCAGUUGCCCAAAAGUGGGAGUCAAAAGUCUGUUUGUCGCUCUCAUGGGAAAAGUGCUCUAGAAGGAUAACCUUAGCCAAAAAGACCAUAAAAUGUCAAGAACAGAUUGCGAAGGAUAAUGUAUUUUCAGAAAAUGACUACGUUGAUCGGAUAAAACCUACGUGUUCUAUAUGGUAGCUAUUCGUAAAUCCUAAAUGAGUUUGGUCUUGAUCACUGUUGUUGUGGAUUAUAAAAUGUACAUGUCGAUGUCAUAAAACAAACUUAGAAGAUCAUAGUCUUUAUAAACCUAAGGGCCACAGGCACGUUCUAGCAACUUAGAGGUCCACGGAACACGUCACAAAAAUGAUGAAAUUAAUUAAGUCUCGACCCUUGACUUGUGCAAACAAUCUUGAGCUAAAGCGAUUUGCAAGCAAUUGGUGAGAUCAAAACAAGUAACUUCUAAUUUGUGAGAUGAAGUCAUUGCCACAUCAAAUUUGGCAAUGCUAGCCCUAAUAUUUCAAAAUGUCAUUUAUCUUGGGUUGGUAAAAAAAAAAAAAAAACCUUUUUAAUAUUAGCCAUUCACCAAUAAACUUCAAAAAAGCUUGUGUUUUAUAUUAAGAGUGCGAUUGUUUUGUUGAAAACUUUAUGGUGAAGGAAAAUAUUUUUUAUGGAAAUGAUUUUCAAGAAAAACAAUUAGGGUGCAAUUGGUAACUGGCCAAACAAUGAAAAUUUAUAUUCUUUUGUUCCUGGAAGUAAAUUUGAAAUAGAAAUUCGUUUGGCAAAAUUUUUAUUCCCGAAAAUAAAUUUCUAUUUUUUUUCCUGAAAGUACAUUUGGAACUGAUUCAAGAAGUAAAAAAAGGUUAAUUCUUUAUUUCCGGGAACAAUUUCAAAAUCAAACCAACCUAUUUUUUCUUUUUUCUCUUCUUUCUUAUUAUUAUUCUUCCCUCUCUCUUGUUCUUUAGCCACCGUCGCAACCACCACCGCCACCAUUGUCGGCGACUAGUUGGGUGAGGUUCGGCGAGUUCGUCCAGCCACGGGCAAGGCUCAGUCAAGCCAUGGCUAGGCGAGGCUCAACCUUGCCCAAAUCUGGCGAGGUUGAGCUUGCCCGGCCGUCGAUGGGGCUCGACCUUGCCGGGCCACCAUGAGGUCGGUGUCGUCAGGCUAAAGCAAGGCCAACCUCGUGGCAUCUUGGCAAGUUCGAACCCCAUCGACGGUUAGGUGAGCUCAGCCGAGUCCAGCUACCGAUGAGAUCUCAGGCCCUCGUCUAGCUGGUCACUGAUCAUCUCAAGGUCGGUGACUAGUAAAGCUUGAAGAAGAAGAAGAAGAAGAAGAAGAAGAAGAAGAAGAAGAAGAGAAAAGAAAAGAAAAGAAGAAAGAAGAAAAAAGAGAAGAAAUACAAUUAUUAAAAAAAAUUAAAAAUGAUUUGGAUUAAAAUUUUCAAAACAAUACCAAACGCAAUUCUAUCCUAGGAAUAAAAAUUUUAGGCAGUUACCAAACGAUUUAAAAUGCUUAAAAAUUAUUCCCGAAAAUAGAAUAUAAAAAAAAUCAUUUCUGAUUAGAAAUUGUUAUGGGGAACAGAAUGGUUACUAAACGUGUCCUUAGUCUUCAUUUAUUUGGCGGUUUAAGAAAGUGAUUUCUUUCUUGUCAAAUGGAAUCAAAUCCUUUAGAACUAGAGAUUAUCUAACCAAAUAAUUCAUCUCAAGCCCCCACUUUCUUUAUACAUUUAUUUACUGUUGAUGACAUUCAUUAUUCCAAAAGACUAGAAAAAUUUGAAGAAUUUCAACUUGGCUAAAUACUCAAGCCUUCAUAAAUCAUGACAAGUAUGAUGUAAUUUAUAAUUUUGUCACAAGAUUUAUAAGCAGCCUCAAACAUUGGUGGCAAUCGGUUACUAAAUAAGAUCAAGUGCAAUUAAUGCUCUCGGCAAACUUUGGCUAGGCUAUUGCUCUCAUUUACCAUUUCUUCAUUGACAAACCUGUUGACCUCCAUGAGCUCAAAAGGAGAGAGUUCUUUGAAAGAAAAUGUUGUUCUCUAAAAAAAAAUGCAUCUCGACAAGCAUUAUCGAGAAAUGCUCAAACUUUUUUAUGGCCUUGGAGUUGAUGUAAAUCUAAAACAGGUUUUCCUACCUUCAAUUCCUAGAGAGCUAUCCCAGUAGAUUGAGAGAUCCUUUUUCAACAAGUAAAGGCGAAUUAUGGAUAUUCCCUUAUAUUCCCUUGGGAGAAAUAUAGUAAGAGAUCCAUCUGUGUCUUGAUGAUUUGUGUCUAAGGUGCCAGAUAAUGAAAACCUAUCUCCAAGACAACUAUGAACUUGAUGGAGCUUGUUCGCGCCAGAAUUUGAAGAUCAAAUAUUCGAAAAAGAAUUGUGAUGGCUCUUGUGGAAAGUACUCCAGAAAGAAGAAGUAUUUCAAGAAAUACAGAGGUGAAAUAUCCAAGCAUGGAUCUAAGCAUUUUCGAAGAAAGAAAAAAUUGCGAUUCCUGCGAAGAAUGAAAGAUCAUCCAAAUCGCAAAAAAUCAACCCGAUACUUCAUCUGCAACAAAAAUGGUCAUUUUGCCAAAAAUUAUUCCCAGGCGAAAAAAGGUAAGAACCAUUUGAUACAUCACAUUGAAGUUGAAACUGGAGUUUCUCUUGAAAAUGAUGAUGUUGAAUCAUUAUUCUCUAUCAAUGAAGAUCUAUAUGAAUAAACCAUUUGUGUCAUUUCAUGUUACCAAACCCUUAGUGAAAUUGAUUCCUAUUCAGCCAUUGAAGAUCUUUUCCAUAUAUUUCUCACCUCUGUAAACCCAGUAUAUAUUCUAGUCAAGUUCAUUGUCCUAAUUUUCUAAUUAAAAUCUUUCACCUCAAAAUUUGCUAAAUCUAUCACAGUUAUUGCUCUUGUUGACAUCGGUGCUAGUUCAUCAAUUUUAGCUAUUAAAGUUUUCCCUAAAGAAUACUAAACUUUCCGUGUUUGAUAUUUCAAUUUUGCCUCAGGAAAUAUUUUAUCUACAAAUGUACAAAUUACGCCAGUAACCAUCUAGUUAUUUCUUUAGUGUUCUAUUACCACUAAAAUCUCUGUAUUCGCUCUUCCCAAUAAAGAUUUGAUUAUUGGUUAGGAUAUCAUGACUCAAAUUUCUCAACUUCAGAUCAGUCGUGGAAAAGACCUCAAGUAUAAAGACAAAUUCUCCCAAUUUGUCAAUAUCCAAAGGCUCUUCUCUAUCCAUAUGGGUUUACUAGAUUCGAUAAUGCAAAAGUUACUUGAAUCAUGCUUAGAAUCACAUUCUGAAUUCUCUCAAAAGUGCCCCAAUCCCUUGUGGAAAAAUCCAAAAUUCUUUAUUUGCAGUCAUUUAAAAAAGAAUGAAGACAUAAAUCCCACUAAGGUGAGUCACAUGAGAAUGAACCCGAAACAUCUAACAUCUACUUAAAAGGAAUGCUCAGAUCUACUACAGUAAGACCUUAUCGAAAUCUUGGACUCUCGGUAGGCCUAUGAAGCUUUUUAUGUCAACAAACCAACUAAGCUGAACAAAGGAAAAAUAUGGCUAGUGAUAAACUACCAACCCCUCAAUCUCUUCCUCUAAGAUGAUAAGUUCCCUAUACCCUUUUGAAAUUCCCUUUUUGCUGGAUUAUCCAAAGCCCACAUUUAUUCCAAGUUUGAUCUCGAAGUCGGAUUUUUGGUAAUUGGGCAUUUAUCUCAAAGACAGGCCCAAGACAAGAUUCUGAUUCCAAAACAGCAUUUCCAAUGGAAGGUUCUUCAUUUUGGCCUCAAAGUAGCCCAUUCAUUGUUUCAAUAGGCCAUAUAUCGUAUCUUUCAAAGGUCAAAUGCAAUAAAAUUAGUAUCAAAACAAAGUUCAGGAAAUGCCAAACAACUUUGCUAAAGCAAUCUUUUCAAAAUAGGCAUCACAUGAAUUUGUAAAAAAUUUGAAACGUGUGAAGGUCGGAUCAGGAAAUCAAAAUUCCAGAAUGUUUGUCAUGGGAACAAAUGGAAAAUGGCACAAGAUUGACAGGCUCCAAGGACAAUUCAUCAUUGCAAGGAUGAUGAUGAGGAACUCGACGGAGCAGAUGCUGCCGCCCCACGUGGGCGAGCUACACGUGAGCAGCACUGGAUCCUGCGCUCUGGAGGAAGGAAGAAGCCUCCUCUCAAUUUCGUACAAGUUUUGGUAAAAAAAAGGGUGGAAUUUAUUAUAUGAAUUCACUAGUUAAUACCAACUGUUUAUUAUCCAACUGCCAACUGUUUAUUGUCCAACUGCCACCGCACCGUCCAGCGCUGCGAAUAUUCCGCACAUUGUUUAUUUAUUUAUUUUUCCUUUUUUUCCUUCGUAUGCGUGAAUUGCGUGAAAACUGUCGGAAGCUCCAUGGGGCUAUGUUGCAGGGACACGUGGCGGAAAAGGGCACAUACUUGGGAGGCCCCUUUUUUACAUUACAGUUAUGUUAGUUGGACCAAGAAGAGGUGGGGGCUGUUAAUUUAAUAAGCGAUUAAUUAAAAUGGAAGCCAAAAAAUGGAGAAUAGUUUUCUAAGCAUGCUCUGUACCGUAGGUCUCUUGGAGAGUAGUUUUACUAAAUCGGUCAUUAAAAUUUUCCUUUGGCAUUACUAUAAUGUGACAAAAUUGGACUGAAUGCUCUUAAAUUUAUAACAGGAUAUUCAUUUGAGUCUUAACCCUUUUAAUUAAAAUUCUUUGGUCUUAAAAUUUUGAGGAAAAAUCUAAUCACGUCUUCUCCGCCACCCCUUACAUGUAGCAAUGACGGAGUGAAGUGGAAUAAUAUUCAACGAGACGAUGGUGAGAUGGGCUUUCUUGAUUGAGCAACUAAAACACCAAAUUAGCCCUAAAUUACAAAGUCCCACUUUGAUCCCUCCCAUUUGAGCACUAUUUCCCAUGAGAAACCCCACCUGUAGUCUUGGCGGCAAAAUUUGGCGAAACGAUGAAGGUGAACUCGUGAUUCUGUAGUGGAAACCACAAAGAGUGGUCGUGUUAAAUUUACAUUGAAGUCUAAUGUCAAAUGCCACGAAAAAGGUAGAGAAUUAGUCAAACAUAUAAACAUUGGUUGCGGUAUCUUAGAGAAUUUGUUAUAUGUUCAUGAUCUAGUUGUGUGUUUGUGUUGAUCUCUUUACAUGUGUGCUAGUGAUCCCCCAACUAAAAAAAGAAAAAAAAGAAAAAAAUGGGUUUAAUAUAGCCUUUAGCAUAAGGUUGAGAUGAACGACAAAUCGGUAUUGGUUUUGCAUUUUCAAGAUUGGAUAUUUUGUCCGAUGCCGAAUGCUUAACUAUGUGCUAGAGUGAGAAGAUGAAUUUAGCGGAUUGCGUCCAUUAAAAAAAACUUCUAUAGUUAGAGAAAAUCUUUUGUAUAAACAACCGGUAAUGUGAGCUGUUAUGUUUGAAUUUUCUCCAACGCGCGGGGCCCCACCACCCCUAUCCAUUUGCGCGUCUUUUGCUUGGCCCAUAAUACCAGUCCACGUUUCAACUCCUGAUUUAAAGGGCGGUUGCAAAGGACACGUGGCGAAAGGGGUUGCCUCCUUGGAGGCCCUUUUUACACUUGCAGUUAUGUUAGUUGAUCCGAGGGAGAGUUGGCCAUCUCUUACUUUAGUCAAAGAAAUUUUACACGCUAAUCACAGCUAAUGGCCAAUAGAUUAGUGACUAAAUUGUCUUCUUCGAGAACCUGCUGACCCCACCAAACGAGAAUUUUGAAACUUUUGAAAGAAGAAGACCUUUGAAUAUUAUUUGUAUAACGUUGGAUUGCAAUUGAUUUAAUGUUGUAUGAAAUGAAUACCAAGUUCUCUUUCUCAAGAGCCUAUGGCAAACAAAAAGUUCUUACCCCUUCUAUUAACAUUGAGCAAUCCUAGUUGCAAAAAAAUUGAUUUUAACAUUGAUUUUGAAGUAAGUGAGUCAUAUAUCGAAACAUGAAUUAAAAAAUAAUCUCAAUCUAUAAACCAAUUUUAAAAGCAAAUCUUUGAAUUUGUGGCUGACGUUGUUUUAAAGAUUCAGAGCAUUUUCGCUUUUUAACAUCUCCAAAUUACUUGAGAAAAAGAGAGGGCCAAACAUUUCAUGACAAACUAGAUAAUACUUUUAGUCAAAGAUAAGUUUGUGAUUCUAGAGGGAAGGGGUAUUGUUAUAUUUUAGCAGGCGAAGCAGAACACACAACUUUCUAUAUCUCAGCGUUGGGCACUUACACAUAUUGAAUUUAGAGGAUGGAAUGUCUAAUGUUGUUUCACCUGAGAAGCAAAUUGGAUUGUUGCAAGCGGAAGAACCGAGCACAUUUCAAAAAGAAUUGAUCCGUUAUCUCGCCAUCUUAUUGAGAAUAAUAAGAGCAUCUUUGACUACCCAAAGUAAGUAUUACUAUUAGGCAAAACGUCUCUUCAGGCCACAUCAAUCGAGUGACAGGCCUAAAAUAGAAGGCUGUGUCAGGGGGUUAGUACCCGUGCUUUGCGGUUCUCUAGUAGAAUAGCUUUACUAAAUCAAUCACGCCCUUUCUUUUGGUCUUCAGCUCUUCAUUGCAGCCAUAGGUUAUGACCAUGUUCAUGCCAUUUUUUUAAUUGCAAGUGUAGAAAGAGUUUUUCCAAUGGGAAAGCAACGAGAAAAUGUGUCUAGAAAGGGUGCACGUGCAGCCCAUGCACGCCCUAUCUCAUCUCCGACUCUACCUCUUUUAGUUUUCUUUAGUGAUUUUUCAUCUAAUCUUUUCCUGGAAUUUUUCUUUUUACGAUCACCUUCUAUCAAUCUUGUAGCCAUGGAGUUUUAUUUUUUUUUCACAGUGCCUCUUCUUCACUACACAAAAAUCAGAAUAUAGAAAAUUUGAGGCUAUUUUUUUUUUCGGUAGUUCUCCAUUGUCUUCAUAUAAUGGGCGAUGAAAAGGAAUCAAAGUUCUCCAUAUUGAAUUUUCUGUGCUUAAAGAAAACUUCCUCAAUUGUAGACACUCAACAAAAGUAGCAUAUACUAACUUGAAAUUUCUUCCAAUAUAUAUCUGUACACAUCACUCAACAAAAGAAAACAAAAAACUUAAGAGACAUCUUUAUCUUCAACCCUUAAAUCAGGGAGAUGAAGGGGAAAAUAAAACCCUCCCCUUUCGAGGCAAAAAAAAAAGCUACCAAUUCCAAUUGUAUCCUGCUCUGUAAUUGCUCGACACACUUAUAAACCAGCCCUAGUUCCAAACACCUAGGCUGCAGAUGGGGCCGUCAAGAAGCGGAAAGCUCCGGCCUCCUCCAACGCCUUGAGGAAUCGAUCCCAUAUGGUUCGCUUAGCCGCUUCAUCUCUUGCAACGAUAUUCUUGUAGUCCAAGGACUCGUCGUCGUAAAUAUCCCACCACUUCUUCACCAGCAUCUUGAUGUCCUCCCGGUCCAUGUUCUCUUCCUCGCCUGUGUACCGCCACGGCUUCGACCCGGCCGCACAAUAAUGGACAACCUUCACCUUGUCCAGCUCGACGUUCUCAGGGUGGCGCCACAACAUCGCAAGCACCAGGUUGUACACGUUAGGAAUCGGUCUGUAGAUGUCCUUGAAAUACAUGUUCAGGAGGUCUUGUUCAGCAAAUGAAGUGGGAGGUGUGAUCUUGAGAGUUUCGAGCAAAUCGUGGUAAGUGUCGAGGUCUGGCUCGUACACAAACAUGCCGGCGUUGAAGUAGAGAGGUGGCUUUGGGCCAACGUGGUCGGGCCAUUGGACCUUGUCGGGGCACUGUUGGCAGUACCCG